GUUGUGAAUUCGUCUAUAAAAUCACACCAAUAAAAGAACUUGAUGUGUGGAGCAAUAGAACGGCAACCAAUGAUUAAGCGGAAUAAGCAAUAAUAAUAAUAACCGAUAAACGGGAUAAAGGAGAAGAAAGAACACAAUAUUUGUUUACCCAGUUCGGUCCAAUAAUGACCUAGUCUGGGGGAGAGAGCAGCCCCUCCGUUCCACUAUAUCAAACAAGUAACUUUACAAAGA
RNAcentral lists this long non-coding RNA (231 nucleotides) under Trifolium pratense (red clover). RNAcentral describes it as "long non-coding RNA (TPRA_LNC009131)". The record is from RNAcentral. Lineage: Eukaryota; Viridiplantae; Streptophyta; Magnoliopsida; Fabales; Fabaceae.